AAGCCGUGAAAUGCGUAGAGAUAUGGCAGAAACACCAGUGGCGAAGGCGACUUUUCUGGUCUGUAACUGACACUGAGGCGCGAAAAGCGUGGGGAGCAAACAGGGAUUAGAUACCCUGGUAGUCCACGCCGUAAACGAUGAGUGCUAAGUGUUAGAGGGUUUCCGCCCUUUAGUGCUGAAGUUAACGCAUUAAGCACUCCGCCUGGGGAGUACGGCCGCAAGGCUGAAACUCAAAGGAAUUGACGGGGGCCCGCACAAGCGGUGGAGCAUGUGGUUUAAUUUGAAGCAACGCGAAGAACCUUACCAGGUCUUGACAUCCUCUGAAAACCCUAGAGAUAGGGCUUCUCCUUCGGGAGCAGAGUGACAGGUGGUGCAUGGUUGUCGUCAGCUCGUGUCGUGAGAUGUUGGGUUAAGUCCCGCAACGAGCGCAACCCUUGAUCUUAGUUGCCAUCAUUAAGUUGGGCACUCUAAGGUGACUGCCGGUGACAAACCGGAGGAAGGUGGGGAUGACGUCAAAUCAUCAUGCCCCUUAUGACCUGGGCUACACACGUGCUACAAUGGACGGUACAAAGAGCUGCAAGACCGCGAGGUGGAGCUAAUCUCAUAAAACCGUUCUCAGUUCGGAUUGUAGGCUGCAACUCGCCUACAUGAAGCUGGAAUCGCUAGUAAUCGCGGAUCAGCAUGCCGCGGUGAAUACGUUCCCGGGCCUUGUACACACCGCCCGUCACACCACGAGAGUUUGUAACACCCGAAGUCGGUGGGGUAACCUUUUUGGAGCCAGCCGCCUAAGUGACAGAAUUUGGG
This 804-nucleotide ribosomal RNA is filed under the name Bacillus sp. WBQ_16M. RNAcentral describes it as "bacterial SSU rRNA". It matches the Rfam family "Bacterial small subunit ribosomal RNA", at positions 676 to 1479 of the family's 1533-position model. The record is from RNAcentral. Lineage: Bacteria; Bacillati; Bacillota; Bacilli; Caryophanales; Bacillaceae.